UGGAUGAUGUGGUUUAAUUCGAUGCAACGCGAAAACCUUACCCACCUUUGACAUGGCAGGAAUCCUAAAGAGAUUUGGGAGUGCUCGAAAGAGAACCUGCACACAGGUGCUGCAUGGCUGUCGUCAGCUCGUGUCGUGAGAUGUUGGGUUGAGUCCCGCAACGAGCGCAACCCUUGCCAUUAGUUGCUACGAAAGGGCACUCUAAUGGGACUGCCGGUGACAAACCGGAGGAAGGUGGGGAUGACGUCAAGUCCUCAUGGCCCUUAUAGGUGGGGCUACACACGUCAUACAAUGGCCGGUACAGAGGGUAGCCAACCCGCGAGGGGGAGCCAAUCCCACAAAGCCGGUCGUAGUCCGGAUCGCAGUCUGCAACUCGACUGCGUGAAGUCGGAAUCGCUAGUAAUCGCGGAUCAGCAUGUCGCGGUGAAUACGUUCCCGGGUCUU
This 444-nucleotide ribosomal RNA is filed under the name uncultured Allobrachymonas sp. RNAcentral's name for it is "bacterial SSU rRNA". It matches the Rfam family "Bacterial small subunit ribosomal RNA", at positions 933 to 1382 of the family's 1533-position model. The record is from RNAcentral. Lineage: Bacteria; Pseudomonadati; Pseudomonadota; Betaproteobacteria; Burkholderiales; Comamonadaceae.